UGAGUUGAAGCUGAAAUAAUAGCAUUUGGCCGUUAACCAAAAGGAUGGAGAUUCAAACCUCUCAACUCAG
This 70-nucleotide transfer RNA is filed under the name Actinopyga lecanora. Its description in RNAcentral is "tRNA-Asn". It matches the Rfam family "tRNA". Rfam says of the family: Transfer RNA (tRNA) molecules are approximately 80 nucleotides in length. Their secondary structure includes four short double-helical elements and three loops (D, anti-codon, and T loops). Further hydrogen bonds mediate the characteristic L-shaped molecular structure. tRNAs have two regions of fundamental functional importance: the anti-codon, which is responsible for specific mRNA codon recognition, and the 3' end, to which the tRNAs corresponding amino acid is attached (by aminoacyl-tRNA synthetases). tRNAs cope with the degeneracy of the genetic code in two manners: having more than one tRNA (with a specific anti-codon) for a particular amino acid; and 'wobble' base-pairing, i.e. permitting non-standard base-pairing at the 3rd anti-codon position. Lineage: Eukaryota; Metazoa; Echinodermata; Holothuroidea; Aspidochirotida; Holothuriidae. The record is from RNAcentral.